RNAcentral lists this ribosomal RNA (211 nucleotides) under uncultured bacterium. RNAcentral describes it as "partial 16S ribosomal RNA". It matches the Rfam family "Bacterial small subunit ribosomal RNA", at positions 1288 to 1500 of the family's 1533-position model. The record is from RNAcentral.
UCAGUUCGGAUUGAAGGCUGAAAUUCGCCUUCAUGAAGCCGGAAUUGCUAGUAAUGGCAGGUCAGCAUACUGCCGUGAAUACGUUCCCGGGCCUUGUACACACCGCCCGUCACACCAUGAGAGUUGGGAAUACCCGAAGCCUGUGAGCUAACGAAAGAGGCAGCAGUCGAAGGUAGAAUCAAUGAUUGGGGUGAAGUCGUAACAAGGUAUC